CGGAGGUUCCCCUCUACUCCUACGGGAGGCAGCAGUAGGGAAUCUUCCGCAAUGGACGAAAGUCUGACGGAGCAACGCCGCGUGAGUGAUGAAGGUUUUCGGAUCGUAAAGCUCUGUUGUUAGGGAAGAACAAGUACCGUUCGAAUAGGGCGGUACCUUGACGGUACCUAACCAGAAAGCCACGGCUAACUACGUGCCAGCAGCCGCGGUAAUACGUAGGUGGCAAGCGUUGUCCGGAAUUAUUGGGCGUAAAGGGCUCGCAGGCGGUUUCUUAAGUCUGAUGUGAAAGCCCCCGGCUCAACCGGGGAGGGUCAUUGGAAACUGGGGAACUUGAGUGCAGAAGAGGAGAGUGGAAUUCCACGUGUAGCGGUGAAAUGCGUAGAGAUGUGGAGGAACCACCAGUGGCGAAGGCGACUCUCUGGUCUGUAACUGACGCUGAGGAGCGAAAGCGUGGGGAGCGAACAGGAUUAGAUACCCUGGUAGUCCACGCCGUAAACGAUGAGUGCUAAGUGUUAGGGGGUUUCCGCCCCUUAGUGCUGCAGCUAACGCAUUAAGCACUCCGCCUGGGGAGUACGGUCGCAAGACUGAAACUCAAAGGAAUUGACGGGGGCCCGCACAAGCGGUGGAGCAUGUGGUUUAAUUCGAAGCAACGCGAAGAACCUUACCAGGUCUUGACAUCCUCUGACAAUCCUAGAGAUAGGACUGCCCCCUUA
RNAcentral lists this ribosomal RNA (713 nucleotides) under Bacillus sp. (in: firmicutes). RNAcentral describes it as "bacterial SSU rRNA". It matches the Rfam family "Bacterial small subunit ribosomal RNA", at positions 319 to 1022 of the family's 1533-position model. Lineage: Bacteria; Bacillati; Bacillota; Bacilli; Caryophanales; Bacillaceae. The record is from RNAcentral.